CAGACUAACCUCAUUUUCUAUUAUUUCUGUAUUGGGAUAAUUAAAACCGGAUUAUACAAAUUAACAAAUCAUGAACUUAUAUUACCCCUCCGCUAAGAAGCAAAUAGGCUACUUUUGGGCCAAUAAGAAAAUAUAAUGGAAGAUGUCAAUAUCAUCUUCUUCCUCUUCUUUUUUGUUGUUAGCAAUACUCGUAGAGGCUGCUGAAAACUCGCCAGUGUUGCCAGUGUGCUUAACAUGAGCACACAUAAAUAGUGUGCUCGCUAGCGACUGUGUAAAAAAUGACAGACAUGAAAUGUAUGGCAGAUUGUACAGUGCCCAGAGAUAGCUGUUACUUUUAAGGACUAAAAUCUUCAUAGAUUUUUUGAUGCACUAGUUAUCUACCGAUGAAGUUUAAUGUAAACUCAUGAUAAAGCUACAGAAACUUUUUUCUGAAAUGCUAAUGUUACAAUGUCAAUGUUUAUGGCCAGCGGGUGAGUGAUAGCGCUGGUUGCGCAGACGCCGUCGAUUAGCUCCGUCCGGUCCAGAUAACUGUAUGCGGAACGCUGAUCCGAAAUAUUCGGACUAGAGCUGACUUACGAAAUAACUGCACAAUGCGAGGACGACAGAAUGCAUGCGGAAUACAACGUGCAGUUGAUAAGUACAACGAUUGCUAUGACAACCAGUCUCGAUCGACCUCGUAGAAGGUAAACGAUUUACAGUAUUUCUAUCCUAGCCCUAUUGCAAAUAAAUGUGGGCAUAUUUACCUACUUAAGUACGCCUGAUUUUGAACAUCUUUAA
Molecule: long non-coding RNA, 777 nt
Organism: Ostrinia nubilalis (European corn borer)
Lineage: Eukaryota; Metazoa; Arthropoda; Insecta; Lepidoptera; Crambidae
Exons: 2
Source: RefSeq, a predicted model, not a curated record